UGACAACCUAGGGAAGGUUUGAGGUUGGA
RNAcentral lists this non-coding RNA (29 nucleotides) under Mus musculus (house mouse). Lineage: Eukaryota; Metazoa; Chordata; Mammalia; Rodentia; Muridae. The record is from RNAcentral.